CCUACGGGUGGCUGCAGUAGGGAAUCUUCCACAAUGGGCGAAAGACUGAUGGAGCAACGCCGCGUGGGUGAAGAAGGUCUUCGGAUCGUAAAAACAGUUUGGUAGAGAAGAAAGGGCGGGAGAGUAACUGUUAACGGGUCGACGGGAACGAACCAGAAAGCCACGGCUAACUACGGGCCAGCAGCCGCGGUAAUACGUAGGUGGCAAGCGUUAUCCGGAUUUAGUGGGCGUAAAGGGAACGCAGGAGGUCUUUUAAGUCUGAUGUGAAAGCCUUCGGCUUAACCGGAGUAGUGCAUUGGAAACUGGGAGACUUGAGUGCAGAAGAGGAGAGUGGAACUCCAUGUGUAGCGGUGAAAU
RNAcentral lists this ribosomal RNA (357 nucleotides) under uncultured bacterium. RNAcentral's name for it is "partial 16S ribosomal RNA". It matches the Rfam family "Bacterial small subunit ribosomal RNA", at positions 338 to 687 of the family's 1533-position model. The record is from RNAcentral.